AGGAAAUCUACAUGCAGAGAGUCCGAAGAGUGUUCCAGGUUGAGAAACCAGCACAUGCAAAGGCCCCAGGUGAAAGAGCGUGAAGCAAGGAAGAUUAGCCCUGAGCUAACAUCUGCUGCCAAUCCUCCUCUUUCUGCUGAGGAAGACUGGCCCUGAGCUAACAUCCAUGCCCAUCUUCCUCGACUUUAUACAUGGGACGCCUACCACAGCAUGGGUGCCUAAGCGGUGCCAUGUCCGCACCUGGGAUCCGAACCAGUGACCCCCAGGUCGCUGAAGCGGAACGUGCGAACUUAACAGCUGAGCCACCGGGCUGGCCCCACCCUCAACUUUUAUAAUGUCAGGAGCAAUGGAGCACCAGUGUUAGGAGAACCUACCUCCCCUGGCUCCAUCAAAGCCACAGACCCAUGAGAACCAUCCAGCCUAGCCUGAGCCACACGCCCGGAGGCCACAGCCUGUGUGCAGGAAAGUGAGAGGAAGUGGAAACGUGUGAGCAGAGGGCUCAAAGCAACGGGCUCACCACCGGAAAAAAAAAUAAAAAUAAACACGCUCAGAAAUAGUGUAACUGAUAUGCAAAGAAGAUCAAAACAAGGGUUUUAAAAUAUCUUGGCUGCUUUAGAGGGGGUAGGGAUGGUAAAUGAAGCGAGGUUGCAAAUGUAUGUUAGGGGAGGGGGGCGGUUAAGGAUGAUUGACAGCAGCCUGCCAGGCCAUGGAAGCCUGGAACCCAAGGGUACUUCAGACAAAAAU
RNAcentral lists this long non-coding RNA (744 nucleotides) under Equus asinus (donkey). Its description in RNAcentral is "lncRNA (ENSEASG00005034061.1)". Lineage: Eukaryota; Metazoa; Chordata; Mammalia; Perissodactyla; Equidae. The record is from RNAcentral.